This 325-nucleotide ribosomal RNA is filed under the name uncultured bacterium. RNAcentral describes it as "bacterial SSU rRNA". It matches the Rfam family "Bacterial small subunit ribosomal RNA", at positions 28 to 334 of the family's 1533-position model. The record is from RNAcentral.
GACGAACGCUGGCGGCGUGCUUAACACAUGCAAGUCGAGCGGAGACAUAUUGAGGAAGUUUUCGAAUGGAAUUGAUAUGUUUUAGCGGCGGACGGGUGAGUAACGCGUGAGCAACCUUUCCUCUACUGGGGAAUAACACAGGGAAACUUGUACUAAUACCGCAUGGGACCACGGCCUGGCAUCGGGCUGAGGUGAAGGGAGCAAUCCGGUGGCGGAUGGGCAUGCGGCGCAUUAGCUAGUCGGCGGGGUAACGGCCCACCGAGGCGACGAUGCGUAGGGGUUCUGAGAGGAAGGUCCCCCACACUGGUACUGAGACACGGACCAG